CCUGCCCCUGCCCCUGCCGCAGCGCCCCGCCCUGAGGGAUUGGCAGAUUUGCCAUCAGGAGGUUUUAAACAGGAUUCGGUGCCGACAGCCUCCCUGCUGCAGCCUGCGGAUAGGAAGAGGCAAAGAUGCAGAUGACCAAGAGCUCUCCCUUGCCCAGGCUGGGCUGUACCUUGCACCCUGGUGCUUUUUCAUUGUUAAACAUAGCUAAUUAAUCCAUGUGGGAAAUGUUCCUGCAGAAGGAUAGAGGCACCGUCCAAGCUGUUCAUAACUCGGCUGUUAGGACCGCUCCUACGAAGCGCUAAGAAGGAUGGAGCCACAAAGGACACUGCUAGACACGUGCUCUUAUACAUUGAUGUGUGCCACGGUUAGUUGUGUGUUGGAGUCGGGGAAGUAAAUCCACAGAGAAUAUGUUACACUUCCUUGGGUUUACAUGAUGAAAUGGCAACGGAGGUUCUAACUGAACAAUACAAUGUGUCCGAUGUUUGUUUGUUUUUUAACUUGAUGCAGACCAGAGUUGUUGCCAGCAUGGCAUCGCCAGCGAUAAAGCAGCAGCACCCAUUCUCCCCCAGAGAACAACAGCUGGAGGAUCAGGCGGAGAGCUUCAGGUCCAAAAGUUUGCCAGCUCUGAACAGGUCUGCUCCUCGGAUUACCACAACACAAAGCACCCUUCUUGAGGCAAAACGGAGUUUCUGGCACAGUUUCCAAGCGAGGUCUGACCUGAGAUGUGGCCUUGACACCAACAAAUCAGCUCACAGUAACGGUGCUGCUGCUGCUGCUUCUGGGACUGUAUUUUCUUUCACAGCCUCCACCUUUUCAGGGGUCGGGAGUUUCACUGAGAGGACAGACUGUAAUAACUUUGCUGGCACAAGCAAAGGUGUUUCCCCAGCUUCCACGUUGCUAGCUCUCUCAGGUAGAAAGUGUCUCAGCGUGGUGUUGACAGAUUCCCGUUUCUUCUUGGUGUGCAUGUGCUUUCUGACCUUCAUUCAGUCCUUAAUGGUCUCUGGGUAUCUGAGCAGUGUUAUUACCACCAUUGAGAGGAGGUACAGUUUGAAAAGCUCUGAGUCUGGGCUGCUGGUCAGCUGUUUUGAUAUUGGUAGUCUGGUGGUCGUGGUGUUCAUCAGUUACUUUGGGGGGCGCGGACGGAGGCCACUCUGGCUUGCUGUAGGUGGGUUUUUCAUUGCUCUUGGGGCUGCACUUUUUUCUUUACCUCAUUUCAUCUCUCCACCAUAUCAGAUCCAAGAAUUGAACUCUUCCCUCUCUAACGAGGGCUUGUGCGUGACUGGCAAUAAUACCACCAAAGACCAUUUGGAGUCACCAGCCUGUGUCAAGGACUCAGGUGGAAAUGAUCACUCCCUCUAUGUAGCUUUAUUCAUUUGUGCCCAAAUUCUCAUUGGCAUGGGAUCCACACCCAUCUAUACCUUGGGACCAACCUACUUAGAUGACAAUGUCAAGAAAGAAAAUGCAUCACUGUACCUAGCCAUCAUGUAUGUAAUGGGAGCACUUGGUCCUGCCGCAGGAUAUUUACUAGGAGGAGUUCUUAUUGGUUUUUAUGUUGAUCCUAGAACGACUGUUUAUAUUGACCAGAGUGACCCUCGAUUCAUUGGAAACUGGUGGAGUGGAUUCCUCCUUUGUGCCAUUGCAAUGCUCCUUGUGAUAUUCCCAAUGUUUACUUUCCCAAAAAAGCUCCCACCUCGACAAAAGAAGAAGAAGAAGAAAAUUAGCUCUGAUGACAUUUCAAGUGAUGAUGACGUCAUGAAAGAGAAAACAAACAGCAAAAGACAAGUGGAUAGUUCAAUUCCUGCUUCUAUGGGAUUUGGAAAGAAUGUUAAAGAGCUUCCAAGAGCAGCUGUCAGGAUCUUAAGCAACAUGACAUUCCUUUUUGUGAGUUUGUCAUACACAGCUGAGAGUGCCAUUGUUACUGCUUUUAUUACCUUCAUUCCCAAGUUCAUCGAGUCACAGUUUGGCAUCCCAGCUUCCAAUGCCAGCAUCUACACUGGUGUGAUUAUUGUCCCAAGUGCUGGUGUUGGCAUUGUGCUAGGUGGCUACAUUAUUAAAAAGCUCAAACUUGGUGCAGGAGAGUCUGCGAAGCUGGCUAUGAUUUGCAGCGGUGUGUCUUUGCUGUGCUUUUCAACGCUUUUCAUUGUUGGAUGUGACAGCAUUAAUCUAGGGGGCAUAAAUAUCCCAUACACAACAGGUCCUACACUCACUAUGGCACACAGAAAUCUGACAGGUGGCUGUAAUGUCAACUGUGGAUGCAAAAUUCAUGAGUACGAGCCUGUCUGUGGAUCAGAUGGAAUAACAUACUUCAAUCCAUGUCUGGCUGGCUGCAUCAGUGGUGGAAAUCAUAGCACAGGGGUAAGAAAUUAUACUGAAUGUGCCUGUGUCCAAAGCCGCCAAGUUAUCACUCCACCAACUGUGGGACAGCGCGGUCAGCUCAGGGUGGUUAUUGUCAAAACAUACCUGAAUGAGAAUGGCUAUGCUGUUUCUGGGAAGUGUGAUCGGACCUGCAGUACACUUAUCCCAUUCCUAAUAUUUCUGUUCAUAGUUACCCUUAUAACAGCAUGUGCCCAGCCAUCGGCAAUCAUAGUGACACUCAGGUCUGUGGAAGAUGGUGAGCGGCCUUUUGCACUCGGCAUGCAAUUUGUUUUAUUACGAACUCUUGCUUACAUUCCUACUCCAAUUUAUUUUGGGGCUGUUAUUGACACCACGUGCAUGCUUUGGCAACAGGAUUGUGGUGUGCAAGGAUCUUGUUGGGAAUACGAUGUAACUUCAUUUCGCUUCGUUUACUUUGGAUUGGCAGCUGGUCUCAAAUUCGUGGGAUUCUUUUUUAUUUUUCUGGCCUGGUAUUCCAUUAAAUAUAAAGAAGAUCAGCUGCAGAGGCAGAGAUGGAGGGCCUCACCUGUAAACACAGUGAGCGAGAUGGUUGGCAAAGCUGGACCUCAGCAAAACUAUGCCCGGACUAGAUCCUGCCCUACUUUUAGUGCUCGAGGGGAGCACACUGAAGCCAUCUGUCUGGCACGAGGAAUGAAUUACAUAGCACAGACAUAUCCUGGCCCCUUUUCAGAAGCAAUAAAUUCCUCAACUGAAAAUGCAUUGGAGGAAGUCACUGCUGAAAUAUAGACCCCAGGCUUGAAAAUGUAAAAUUCAGUUUUGUUGGUUGAUUUAAAUAUGGCGCCUUGUGAAACACCCGUGCCUUCUUUUUUAAUCUACACGUCACAUGAUAAUACAACAAAACUUAAAGCAAACAUCAAUAGCAUACUUCAGGGCUGGAUACCUCGAAAUGACCCAAGUUCUUAUUUCUCCCCUCCAGGUAAUGGAGUUUUAAAAAUAUGUGUUUGUAAUUACUUCAGGUGUGUCCACUAAAUGUCCAUGCUCUGAUCUAGUUGUCAAAAUUCAGGUGAGGUAUUCUAAAUGGCGGUAAUCAAUGGAAGGGUGACAGAAAUGCAUCUCAUUGAUGCCAAGACUUUAAGAAAAUGUUUAAAGGGAUCAUCAACUUUGCAUCCACGAAUCAUGUUUCAUAGAGAUGAGUAAUUACUGUGAGUUCUGCUACAAAGCACAACUGAGUGUGUCUAAACUAUGCAACUUAUCUGGAUAAUUGUUGAUGCAGCAUGUCAAUUUUGCUUUCAAAGUCUUUAAUCCAACUGAACUUGAAUGGGGCUAUUUUAAGACAGAUAUAAGAUUUAAAAAUGGACACAACUGUUUAAAGUACUGUUGAUAACAUAUUAAGCCAUAGAAAAGUUAUAUAGAAGGUAAAGUUUUUUCAAAUUCUAAGACAUCGUAUCCUUAUCCUAUUAAAAUGUACAUUUAUUUUAAUUUGAUAGGAUGUAGUAUUAUUCAGUGUAGUACACAGGGUAUGAAAGUAUAACUCAGUGUGAAAAACUACAGUAUUAAUUUGUAGUAACAUUAAGACAUGAUAAUCAACCCCAUAGAGACUAUAAUAAGUAGAUGCAUAUUUCUAUAACUACCUAUACAGUUAUCUGCUAUAGGUGGCUACUACUAACUUCAAAUCCAUACUUUUCUUAGUAAACAGAGUAUCCAGGUUUAGUUUGCCAAGAACUGCUUGGCUGUCCUUACGGAAUGCUUAGCUAUCCUUUGCAAAUGCCUGCAGAUCUUUUUAAACAAAUUGUUCUGGUUUUCCACUAAGUGAAAAUACGCAGAGUUUGGAUAGCUGCAUUUUGGGACUGCACUGCUACCAUUCCACACAGACCUCAAACUGAAUGCAAAGGGGAGUUUGCUCCACACCUCGCUCCCCCAUCUUCAUUUAAAGCUCUCUGUGAGGUGUGGCGGAAAUGGAAGAGUCAGCUGACCCCUUCCAGCAGGACAUCUAGGCACAGAAGGCACCUCCGUUCAAGGACCCACACGGCAUGUUCUGACAUUUGAUUAUUCAAAAUAUUUUAGUGAGUUUUCCCACUUGAUUGAGUCUUCAAGAGACUGUUUGAUUUUUAUCUGCAUCCUGUGCUAAUUCCUCAUCCACAAUCUUAAACUGGGAGCAUUACAACUGGCUGUUGCUGACAUUUAGUGAUCUGUCAGGUGGAAGGUUAUGACAAGAAGCCAGUGUUGUAUUCUACUUGCAGGUACAUGUCUCAGAGCCAUUGGGAAUAGAGGAGGGGAUCGUGUAUUUUUUGAAAUUUGGUUGGUGAGAAGCAUGCGGGUAGAAGCCAUGACACACACAGUAGAAAGAAUUAUUUCUCAAUAGAUAUAAACAAUUUUGAUGAGGGUUCAGGAAUUUCAGAGGAUUUUUUUUUUAAAGUUACAGUCAAUUUGUUCUAGUUGUAAGUCAGAUAGGGCCAAAUCCUGUUUCAAUUAAUGUUAAUGGAAAAAUUUCCAUGGGCUUCAGUAGUUUCAGGAUUUGGUCUGUAUAGAUUUUCCUCUCUUGCCAGGUUCCUCCUUCUCUGACUGGCAUCUGAAGUUACUCACCAUGCUGGCUUCAGAUCCUAGUUGAAAUGUUGGCUCCAUUUAUUCCAAAAUGUCUUGAUUAGUUUAUAUGACUCUUGAGCCUCUUAUGACCAUGUCUGUGGCAGAAAAUGUACAGAAAACUGUUACCUCGCUCAUUAUAUUUCCUCCCACAAGCUACUGUUCAUGUGAUGGGAUGGGUAAAAAGCCUCUGUGUUCGAGUAUGCCUGAAAAAAGAAGUGUCCAAAAUGUUUUUCUGUUCUAGGAAGAAUGAAGACCCUGCUGUCUAACAUCCUUGAUCUGCUCUGGAUGAAUAGCUAAACCAUGCCAUGGUGCUAGUUGUUAUUGAUGUAUUUUAUGAUGCAUGUUCACCAUGACUUAACUGGCAUUCAAAACAUUUCACUUAUGUAACAGCGUGUGCUUUCAAUUUGAAAAUCUGGAAAUGUUCCUGCAAAGAUCAUGAUUACCAGUGGGCCAAAUCCUACAGGCCUUACUUAGUCUUUCAGUGGGAAUAUUGCUUGCACUACAGGAUUUGCUCUAGCAUUAAUAGUGAAAGUACUAAUGUAAAACUAUAUAACCUGUAGAAAUGUAGCAUAUGACUAAUUUCCAGUAGAACAUUACUUGUUUUAAUAUACCUUUAUGGAACACUCCUAAACAGCUGUUCAAAGUAAGGUUUCUGUGAACUAAAAGAUUGGGCCAAAUUCUGGGGAUCCCUAACUCAGCAAAAUUCCUGCUUCAGUCAAUGAGAAUUUAAACUAAAGUUAAGGUACCCGAAUUUGUCCCAUUAAUACUAUUCCUCUAUAAAAUACCAAAAUGAAGAGUCAAAGUCAAGGACUCAAUUCAGCCAGUUGACAUUCACUCCAGGUAUUCUGUCAUUUGUUUCUGUGGAGACAGAAUUUGGCCCAUUGGUUUUGAACUUUGAAAGGUAAUACCUUUUCUGUCUCAGUGUAUAUGGACUUAACUGGGCUAGGAGAUCAAAGGGGAUCAUUGAGCUGAUGUAUCAAGAUGUGCGCCUGAGAGCAAGGCAACAGAAAUGUUACCUCCUAGAAGAAAACAUUUUUAAAAACAAAAAUUAUCACAGGGCUGUAUUAAACCAAAAAGUUGUACAGAAACUUAUCAACUUAGUUUUCGUGCAGAAAUGCAAGUUGAAAUCACUGUUAUAGUGGGCAUUCCUCAUAAAGGUCUGCUCCUUUCUCCACUGGAGUAAAUGGGAGUUUUGCCAUUGACUUCAAUAGGAGCUGACCCAAAAUGCAUACCUCUCCCCUCUGCCCCUUCCCCUCCCAAACCUGGGUAGAGUUUUAGGGGCAUGGAAUGGGCGCACUGGCCUGUAAUUGUUUAGUUUAACAAAGUGUUAUAUUGAAUAAACUGGUGUUAGGUCAUUUGUAGUGUGUGUGUGUGGGUGUGUGUGGGUGUGUGGUUAGUAUGCUUGUGGUAAAAGAGAGAGACUAAUUGUUAGGUGCAUUUGUUUUUGCAUACUUUAAGGUCCUUUUAUUGAUAUUUCUCAGCAGAACUUAGAAUAAUAUUCAUGAUCUAUAACAUACUGUGGUUAAUGAUAUUUAUUGUCAACAUCUAUUGUAAACGUGUUUACAAGCAAACCCUUGAAUACUUGAUAUU
RNA transcript from Gopherus evgoodei (Goodes thornscrub tortoise), 6507 nucleotides. It is a transcript of the gene named solute carrier organic anion transporter family member 5A1, with no coding region annotated. Lineage: Eukaryota; Metazoa; Chordata; Testudines; Testudinidae. The transcript is spliced from 11 exons. The record is from RefSeq and is a predicted model, not a curated record.